This 115-nucleotide transfer RNA is filed under the name Terriglobia bacterium. Its description in RNAcentral is "tRNA-Ser". The record is from RNAcentral. Lineage: Bacteria; Pseudomonadati; Acidobacteriota; Terriglobia.
GGGCCGGUUUUACCGACUCAGCCGGUUUUUAAGCCCUUUGCCGUCAAUAAUUUUGCAUUUCACCACUUCCAUGGCAUGGAAGUGGUCGUCGGUUCGAUCCCGACCAGGUCCACCA